UACUAGAGUAGCACUCGCAUAUCAAUAAGCGGAGGAAAAGAAACUAACAAGGAUUCCCCUAGUAACGGCGAGUGAAGCGGGAAGAGCUCAAAUUUGAAAUCUUAAAGGGUUUCCCUUUACGAAUUGUAGUCUAAAGAAGUGUUUUCUGUUGAGGUUUUGGUAAAAGUUCUUUGGAAUAGGACAUCAUAGAGGGAUGAGAAUCCCGUAUUUGACCUUUACUUUCAACUUUGUGAUACACUUUCAAAGAGUCGGAUUGUUUGGGAAUGCAGUCCAGAAUGGGUGGUAAAUUUCAUCUAAAGCUAAAUAUUGGCGAGAGACCGAUAGCGAACAAGUACCGUGAGGGAAAGAUGAAAAGAACUUUGAAAAGAGAGUUAAACAGUACGUGAAAUUGUCAAAAGGGAAGCGUUUGACACCAGUGUUGUUUUUCUGAAAAUCAAUUAAAGAACUGUUUAUGCUAAGCUGUUUAGACUUUAUCAGCUAUCUGUUUAGUUUUAGGCUUUUCUUUAAUGCACUUUUCAGUUAACAAGUCAACAUCAAUUUCUUUUGCUGUAAAAAAGCUUGAGGAAGGUGGCUUGAGAUUCGUCUUAAGUGUUUAUAGCCUCUUGCCUAUGCAGUCGGAGAGAUUGAGGUCUGCAGCGUAGAUCCUUCGGGGCUAAAUGCAUUUGUGCUAAGUUAUAGCAUUUUAUAGACAACUUGUUGACUAUGAUUUGUCUUGUAGCUUACUCGCUUAUGUUAUUUUACCUACGCUUAGGAUGUUGAGCGCAUGUCUCUCUCU
Molecule: ribosomal RNA, 775 nt
Filed under: uncultured Neocallimastigales
Lineage: Eukaryota; Fungi; Neocallimastigomycota; Neocallimastigomycetes; Neocallimastigales
Description: partial large subunit ribosomal RNA
Rfam family: Eukaryotic large subunit ribosomal RNA
Source: RNAcentral